AUUGAACGCUGGCGGCAGGCCUAACACAUGCAAGUCGAGCGGAUGAAGGGAGCUUGCUCCUGGAUUCAGCGGCGGACGGGUGAGUAAUGCCUAGGAAUCUGCCUGGUAGUGGGGGAUAACGUCCGGAAACGGGCGCUAAUACCGCAUACGUCCUGAGGGAGAAAGUGGGGGAUCUUCGGACCUCACGCUAUCUGAUGAGCCUAGGUCGGAUUAGCUAGUUGGUGGGGUAAAGGCCUACCAAGGCGACGAUCCGUAACUGGUCUGAGAGGAUGAUCAGUCACACUGGAACUGAGACACGGUCCAGACUCCUACGGGAGGCAGCAGUGGGGAAUAUUGGACAAUGGGCGAAAGCCUGAUCCAGACAUGCCGCGUGGGUGAAGAAGGUCUUCGGAUUGUAAAGCACUUUAAGUUGGGAGGAAGGGCAGUAAGUUAAUACCUUGCUGUUUUGACGUUACCAACAGAAUAAGCACCGGCUAACUUCGUG
Molecule: ribosomal RNA, 484 nt
Filed under: uncultured bacterium
Lineage: Bacteria
Description: partial 16S ribosomal RNA
Rfam family: Bacterial small subunit ribosomal RNA
Source: RNAcentral